This 72-nucleotide ribosomal RNA is filed under the name Candidatus Bartonella washoeensis. RNAcentral's name for it is "Bartonella washoeensis partial 16S rRNA". Lineage: Bacteria; Pseudomonadati; Pseudomonadota; Alphaproteobacteria; Hyphomicrobiales; Bartonellaceae. The record is from RNAcentral.
CCACGGUAGGGUCAGCGACUGGGGUGAAGUCGUAACAAGGUAGCCGUAGGGGAACCCGUGGCUGGAUCACCU